Molecule: long non-coding RNA, 3070 nt
Organism: Struthio camelus australis
Lineage: Eukaryota; Metazoa; Chordata; Aves; Struthioniformes; Struthionidae
Source: Ensembl
CCUUUGAUCCUUUCAGUUCCCUUAACAGUCUGCUAACAGGUCAGCUGCUGAAGUCUUUCUCGGGUUUUCACUCAGUUCUCCCUUGGGCGACUUUCCCAUCAAAGCUGAUGCCAUUUUGCCUGAGUAAGAGAAACAGUGAAAAGGAGACAGCAUUUUAAGACGUGUGCCAAGCAGCAGUGUGACAAGUCUUUACGCAUUUUUCUUAACCCCCAGCCCAAGGAAGGAGCGCAGACCGUCACCUCGGAUGGGCGCUCCUGCGCGGCUCGCCGGCUACGCCCUCACUGCUCUGGUUGUGUGUCGGUGCUCCCAUCCACACCCCAGGAAAUCAGAAAUGUGCCGUUGCUCUCUGCCUCCCCGCUCCCCUACACAGAGUCCUCUGUCUUCAGAUGUGUGGGCAGGGUUACGGUCGUGAGCGCUCCCGUGCCAAGUGCGGUAUUUCCCGUUGGUUAUGCUACGCUGUCCUCUAGUGGCAAAUCAACCUGCUGGGCCGCCGUGUCUCAGAAGAGGAAGAAGCGUAGUUCUCCCAGGAAACUGAGUGUCAACGCCAGACAGCGUCACUUUUUUUUCCUCAGUGGAGCAGUAGUCUGAGGGACUUUUAAUCUUCAGAGAACAACAAUUUGGUAAGAGUCCAUGAUUUUCAUGAGAGUCCAGACUGAUGAGAAGAUGACUUUGUACAAAGGAAGAAUCAGCAUCUGUUGCCCAAUUACACCAUUAACGCUCAGAAAAGUUUUCAUCUGUGAGCUCUUUUCCAGAAAGAGCCUCCACUGACUAGUAGAUGUGGCUCAGAGCGAUUCAGUUUAACCAUGGACACUGAUUGCUCUGUGGCCUUUAGGAAAGAUCACCAGGAAUUCAGUUGCCAUCACUUAGGGCAACUUAAAAUCUGCCUGUUAGUCUGUAGGCAAAGCUGAUUCAUGGAAGACUAAGCCCAGCAUCAAUAUUCUGAAUAUCCUGCUGAAAUGCAUGACUUCUACAUGUGUGCAAGAGCCGGGCUUGGAAUAUGCAAUGACUUUGUGUUUCAUCACCAAAUUGUUAUCUAACAAGACGUUGCUGUAAUGUUAUUCUGACAUACCACAGACUAGACCUUAAAAUGGAUGCCGAAUUUGUUGUCCGCUGAUGUCUGACUAUGUCGACAGUUUGGCUUUCUUUUGUGAAUGGGCAAAAAGCCUGGGAUUUGUCUGUAAGUGCUUUGAAGCAAAAGUGCUUUUGUCUCGCUGGUCUCUAAGACCACUGUUCGAGACUUGGCAGGUGGACAAAUCCUUAGCUUAGGUCAUUUGAGUGAGAGAACUGAACAAUUUAUUUAACUCUGCUCAAAGCUAAUUUGGGGAGGGGGCAGUGGCACAUGUCUGGUAGAGGGUCUACAGCUGGAUGUGUUACUAAGUAUUGCUGUAACUGCCUCAGUGAAGGGUUUGCUGUGGAGGAAGUAGGAAUAAUGCAAGUUCUGUGAUUUGUCAGAAAAUCCACGUUCUCCUGUGCCUGUGCUAAGUCUGUACUAAGUUGCUGUUUGCUUCAAGGGCUUGCUUUGUAUAUAAUACAGCUUUGCAGCAUCCUACAGGUUUUUAAGCCACGGAAGUGUUGCUUAGACUUUAACACGUGGUCCAGCACACAUGAGACCCUGUAUAGCUAAAAACAUUAGUUCAAGUAAACAUCCCUUCUCAGUCUUGUCAAGGCAUGACGCUUGCUGACAACUGACCUGGUGCCGCUAAUGAGGCUUGAGAUGAAGCUGUGCAUCUCAGAUGAAUGCUGUGGGCCUCCACCUGCGUAACUGAACUGUAGACGGUGUUCACCAACAGCUGUUAUUGUUUGAUCCCUCCUUAGAUGACGAGAUAUUGAAACCAAAUAGCCCUCACAUAGUCAGUAGGGAGAAUACACGCUCCUGAAUUAGCUGUUCUGAAUUGCCUGUUGGGCUCUGCUGAUUAUGGAUGCUCUCUGGGCACCUAAGUUAGAUCCCUAAGGUUAAACAGCAUCAACAGCUCUGCCUUACAACUAGUCCAAGAUGCAUCCUCUUUUUAAAUUUCUUUUUUAAAAAAGGAUUUCAAAAUGAAAAUACGUCUGCAGCAUAUCUAAUAAUACUCCAGAUUCCACCUAUCCUGCCUUCCUUAGAUCCCUCUUUUAAAAACAGAAGAAGAAAAGCAAUAUUUUGAUAAAAUAUUUAAAGAACUAGAACUUUGUCCAAAGGCUAAUAGUAAAGAGACUGCACUAGAUUUUCGGAACCUAAUAUUCUGAUUUCAGCUUUGGAUUUCUAUUGAUGUAGCUCCGUUGCUUCACUGGAGGCCCUCUGGCUUUACAGUGACAUCAGAUAUGAUCUAAAAUGAUAACAGAAAAUUAUUGUCUCUCAUUUUUCAGUCACACAAAGGUUACAGGCAGAAAAAAUUCAUGAAUAUAUUGGUUUAUAGCCUUUCUGAAAGUAGAUUUGAAUGGUGUUAGUGAUUGAAAUCAAGUUCAAUGGAGAGCUGGUAGUCAAGAAAUGUUUUAUUUCAUUUAAGCACAGAAUUAAUCUUGAUACAAAAAGUAUACCAAGAAAUUUUUUCUAAGCAACAACAAAAAUUACCUGGUGGACAUUGCUUUCUUUUCUCUCUUUUUCCUUAAAAAACUUUGCAAGGAAAUGCGUAGUUGAAUGAAAUAUUUUAGCAGAGGCCACAGUAUAAGACUUGAGUUUCCUUCCCUUUUUUUUUUUUUUUUAAUAUAUAUUGGAAAUAACUCUAUUGCAGCUUGAUAUGCUGUUUGGCUUGUGUGUAUUGGAGUUUCCACACCAUUUGUGAUAAGAAAAGAGCCAAACUCCUCAUAUUUUUAUAAGUAGCAUAUUCUGCUUAUUUCAGGCCAUCACAUCAUAUUAUCUGUUUUUUUCCCCACUGGCUGCAUAUAAUACUCUCUCCAGAAGCUGGGAAGUUUGUUCAUAGCCACCAUCUCAUCCUAUGUCGUUGUAAGUGAAGAUAGCAAUUGCCUGUCUUCAAUUCUUUAUUAAAUUGGAGGAAUUGACCCAUUCCUUACUCUCUCAUGAGAACUUUUCUUAUAUAUCUUCGAAGAUUGUAAGGGAGCAAACCCUUAAAAAAAAUAAAUAUUUAACAUGCAU